Long non-coding RNA from Pipra filicauda (Wire-tailed manakin), 1334 nucleotides. RefSeq lists it as uncharacterized. The record is from RefSeq and is a predicted model, not a curated record. The transcript has 5 exons. NCBI's taxonomy places the organism in Eukaryota, Metazoa, Chordata, Aves, Passeriformes, Pipridae.
AGGCCCUCUUCUUCUUCCCCCCCACCUUUGCAGCCAAGCUGUAGAGGAGGGCAGUGUUUUUCCCUCUCGCUGUUUAGUGAGAGUGGAUGCGAGGCUCAGCAUUGGAGCAGAGCCAAGUGGAGGAGGCUCGAUUGCUAGGGAGAAAAUUCCCAGGCAAGAACUGGAGACGGACCCCACAAGAGAGAGAGAGGGGCCCAGAGGAUGUUUCUGCCAUGAACUAAAAUGAAGGACAACCAAAAACCCGAGGAGAAAUCAACAUUCUAGGACACAGACACUUGAUAAGCUGAACUACACUGCAGCAGCCUACGAACUGAGGGUCUGUGGCCUGCCCAAGUUCCAGAGAGGUAUUUUUCCUAAAGGUUAGAGCCUCUGUUGCAAGUACCUGAAAUUCUUCAAAGACAUUAUCUCUAUUGCUGGAAGCUCUGGCCUGGAAAUUAAGCAAUCAUGGCUGCUAUUUAGAAACAAUCUGGUGGACUGGUCUGUGUGAGAAAAGAGGAAUUCAGCAUGAAUAUCUUUGUCUGCAUCUACCCAGGGAAGAACUGAAAUUAUAUUCUCUGAUACUGAGACAAAAACUGCAAUGCUGCAUUCAAAUUCAUCCCAAAUUGGUGUGAAAAUACAUGAGUUUCAAUUUAGUGCCUCAGAUUUUUGCCUCAUGAGAAAGCAAGCUGCAGAAAACUGACUGCCUAUGGAAUAUUCAGCAGAGAGAGUAAGAUAGUGUUGGAAGGGAGAGAAUUUCUGUGGUGUCAUUUGGGAAGGCUGCUAAAAAAUAAAGUUCCACAAAAGUAGCAUGUGAGAAUUUGAGCAAAAUAAGCUUUUCAAACUUACCAGGUUAGUGAAAAGAAAAAAGGCCAGAAAAUCGACAUUAUUUAGCACUCCCUUUAGAGGGGCAGCAUGCAUCCAGUGUACAAAUUUUUAACAGAAGAAUCAGUAACCUCUGUCUUCCAUCAGCAUUAUAUCAACACACAAUGUAAUACUUUGAGAGCUGCUGGGAACUGGACUCCCAAUACCUUGGACUGCAUUUCAUGGCUGCUGUAACCAGCUUUGUGUUUUCUUCUACAGGACUUGACAUUCUCGGAAAGUCUCCACUUCUCCCUUGCUGUAUACAAUAUCCAUGGCCACUGCAGCACUCAAACUCUGUGUUUAAAGGCAGCACUUCUAUUCUGAUCAAAGUUUUUUGUGCUUCACUUUGUCACUUGAAUUCUCAUGUCAGUGGCAAAAUGAAAACCCAGCCAUUGACUUUGGUAAAAAUCAAACACCUUGCAUCAUCUUCACAGUAGAACAUCCUUAAAAUAAAAGACCAUUUUUAAAAACAUAGCUUCUGACUAUAUGUUUUA